Molecule: non-coding RNA, 551 nt
Organism: Chiloscyllium plagiosum (whitespotted bambooshark)
Lineage: Eukaryota; Metazoa; Chordata; Chondrichthyes; Orectolobiformes; Hemiscylliidae
Source: RefSeq, a predicted model, not a curated record
AUACGCAAAGGAGGAAAUGAAUCUGUAGAGAAGUCAUUUUUGUGACUGUGUGUCAGUACUGCUGAAGUGAGAAGUGUUCAUUUGGCAGCACCAUAACACUAAGAAUGCAUCUCAGGAAGCAGUGAUAAAAAGAGUUUGAGGAACGUUGAAAUAUCCGAGAGAUCCCCGUGGUGGAUCUGAAGCAUGAAGGAUAGAAUUCCAAUUGGAAAUCCAUACGGAGUAAAGCGUAGACAGUUGCAGAGGACGAUGAUACAGCUUUGAAAGUGACAGAUCGAGCACAAGAAGGAAAAAAGAAACCAAUAAGAGCAAAAAGCAUGAACAGCAGUUGACAAGUGCUGGGAAAGGAUGUGGUCCUGAUUUUCAGCCUUAGAACUCAACAUUGUCGAUGCAGCUGCAGUAGGAGCCAGCACAGUUUAAUAGAGCUUACAAACGGUUAUAUAGGAACGCUCUACUUUUGGAUAGCGGGAGACACCCGUAUUGGUUAAGCCACUAAUGGAAUACUGCCUGCAAUUCUGGUCUCCCUGCCUGAGGAAGGAUGUUGUAAAACUUGA